Triticum dicoccoides is the source of this 1345-nucleotide long non-coding RNA. RefSeq lists it as uncharacterized. The transcript is spliced from 3 exons. NCBI's taxonomy places the organism in Eukaryota, Viridiplantae, Streptophyta, Magnoliopsida, Poales, Poaceae. The record is from RefSeq and is a predicted model, not a curated record.
CCUACCUUCCCACCGCCCCUCACAUUUCUCCCCGUCGUUCCCCAUUCUUCCUUGGUCGCCAGCUCCCUCUCUCCACCCCACCCCUCCCCUUCGUCCCCACCGCCAGCAAGAAGUUCGCAUCCCCUUUUCAUCGAAUCCGGUCGCCCAAGUGGGCGAGGAGGUCCCCCAGCUCGGCAUGCUCGCGAGCAUCCCAGCGUUAGGCUCCGUCGGAUGCGCGAGACUUCCACGCCCCUGCUCUUCCAAGCCAUUCUUCGAAUCCGUUUGCCGAAGUGCCCAAGGAGGCGCUCGAGCUUGGCGUAUUCACGGGCGACCCAGCGCGAGGCGGGCGCGGAGGCCCGCAACAAGCUAACAAGGAGCGGGCGUGGGUGCACAAGAAUAUCUGGGCACAGUUCGAUGCCUCCACUGAUAAAUUUGCUUGCAGGGCUCUUGAUGAUAUAUCCACUUUCAUCAAAUGCUUAAGGGUAUGGUCACUUGGAGAAGACAUAGCUAUGACUACAAAGAUCUGUUUUUCCAGGUAUGCAUUGUACAAGAUGGAUUUCCUCUUAACCGAUUGGAAGCAUACCGCAACAUGGAUGCACACAAGGGCUAGCCUAAGCAUGCAGGUAGAUGGAUUAUAGACGUCUUGUUAAUGCUGGUGCAAGGAUGCAAUAUCCAUGAACGAGCGCAACGUCGGUGGAUCUGUAUGUUAGAGUUCAGAAUUUUGAAAGAAAGGGGAUAUGGGAAACAAGAAGAGGGGAGCUCUACCUUGGCUAGGAUCCAUGACGGCGAGGUAGCACCGCCGACUGUUGGGACCAGGUGUUGGGCGUCUGUUGGGCGUUGCCGCCGCCGGUGUCGUGGGCAGGCGGCUUGGGGUGCUCGACAGCGUAGGUGGCCUCGAUGGCCUGGAACUCAACCUCGCUCGUCCGCGACAUCCCAGUAGAAUUCGUCGGCGUCAUGGGCGGCGCAGCCACCGGAGCUAGGGCUCGGCGACGUAUGGAGGUGCGGCGGCAUUGAGCGAGAAAAAAAAUCAUGAUGCCGAUCGAUCUGAAGGGCAGAGCGUGUGCGGGGCAGACGUGGGUCAAGGGCUGAACGUGUGCGGGGCAGACGUGGGUGGCAGAACAUUGAAUCUGAGCCAACCAAUCGGAUGGCAGACCGCUGAAUUAAUCUGUGCUGUUAGAUUUUAUUAGAUGUAAUUGAUCGUGGGGUGUAGGUUAUCCUGUGUAUAUUUUAUGGUGUGGUUGUAGGGGAAUUCAUGUUUGCUCUUUUAAUAGUAGUGUAGAUGUAGAUGUAGAUGUAGAGGUGUUUUUUUUUGAAACAUGGGCAAAAGACUUGCCUCAUUCAUUAAUAAAGGAGGAGAGUUUUAGAG